GUAGGUGGCAAGCGUUGUCCGGAAUUAUUGGGCGUAAAGCGCGCGCAGGCGGUUCUUUAAGUCUGAUGUGAAAGCCCACGGGCUCAACCGUGGAGGGUCAUUGGAAACUGGAGAACUUGAGUACAGAAGAGGAAAGCGGAAUUCCACGUGCAGCGGUGAAAUGCGUAGAGAUGUGAGGAACACCAGUGGCGAAGGCGGCUUUCUGGUCUGUAACUGACGCUGAGGCGCGAAAGCGUGGGGAGCAAACAGGAUUAGAUACCCUGGUAGUCCACGCCGUAAACGAUGAGUGCUAAGUGUUAGGGGGUUUCCGCCCCUUAGUGCUGCAGCUAACGCAUUAAGCACUCCGCCUGGGGAGUACGGCCGCAAGGCUG
This 371-nucleotide ribosomal RNA is filed under the name uncultured organism. RNAcentral describes it as "partial 16S ribosomal RNA". It matches the Rfam family "Bacterial small subunit ribosomal RNA", at positions 527 to 896 of the family's 1533-position model. The record is from RNAcentral.